ACGCUCGACACCUACUGGAGGCAGCAGUGGGGAAUAUUGCACAAUGGGGGAAACCCUGAUGCAGCGACGCCGCGUGAGUGAAGAAGUAUUUCGGUAUGUAAAGCUCUAUCAGCAGGGAAGAAGAUGACGGUACCUGAGUAAGAAGCCCCGGCUAACUACGUGCUAGCAGCCGCGGUAAUCUGAGGCGGGCUGGCAAGGC
RNAcentral lists this ribosomal RNA (199 nucleotides) under uncultured bacterium. RNAcentral's name for it is "partial 16S ribosomal RNA". It matches the Rfam family "Bacterial small subunit ribosomal RNA", at positions 328 to 539 of the family's 1533-position model. The record is from RNAcentral.